This 74-nucleotide transfer RNA is filed under the name Nitrospirota bacterium. RNAcentral describes it as "Nitrospirae bacterium (groundwater metagenome) tRNA-Arg". It matches the Rfam family "tRNA". From Rfam's summary of the family: Transfer RNA (tRNA) molecules are approximately 80 nucleotides in length. Their secondary structure includes four short double-helical elements and three loops (D, anti-codon, and T loops). Further hydrogen bonds mediate the characteristic L-shaped molecular structure. tRNAs have two regions of fundamental functional importance: the anti-codon, which is responsible for specific mRNA codon recognition, and the 3' end, to which the tRNAs corresponding amino acid is attached (by aminoacyl-tRNA synthetases). tRNAs cope with the degeneracy of the genetic code in two manners: having more than one tRNA (with a specific anti-codon) for a particular amino acid; and 'wobble' base-pairing, i.e. permitting non-standard base-pairing at the 3rd anti-codon position. Lineage: Bacteria; Pseudomonadati; Nitrospirota. RNAcentral also lists the same sequence under 1 other name. The record is from RNAcentral.
GCGCCUGUAGCUCAGUUGGAUAGAGUGGCAGAUUCCGAAUCUGUAGGUCGGGGGUUCAAUUCCCUCCAGGCGCA